ACUAUUUUGGCAGAAAAAUGUAUUAAAUUUAGGAUUUAAUAAUAUAUAUUUAUAAAUAUAUAAGUAGUA
RNAcentral lists this transfer RNA (69 nucleotides) under Notidobia ciliaris. Its description in RNAcentral is "tRNA-Leu". The record is from RNAcentral. Lineage: Eukaryota; Metazoa; Arthropoda; Insecta; Trichoptera; Sericostomatidae.